UGCAUGAUGAUGGAAAAUUUCUUCACUUUGACCUGACUUGCUUGAUUGAAGAAAUUCAGCUGUCUGACA
This is a small nucleolar RNA of Camarhynchus parvulus, 69 nucleotides long. Lineage: Eukaryota; Metazoa; Chordata; Aves; Passeriformes; Thraupidae. The record is from Ensembl.